UAUCUCUGUAGAGUCUGCAUAUCAAUAAGCGGAGGAAAAGAAACUAACUAGGAUUCCCUCAGUAACGGCGAGUGAAGCGGGAAGAGCUCAAAUUUGAAAUCUUCAAGGUUCUACCUUGACGAAUUGUAGUUUAAAGAAGUGUUUUCUGUUGGAGUUUUGGUAAAAGUUCUUUGGAAUAGGACAUCAUAGAGGGUGAGAAUCCCGUAUUUGACCAUUAUUUCCAGCUUUGUGAUACACUUUCAAAGAGUCGGAUUGUUUGGGAAUGCAGUCCAAAAUGGGUGGUAAAUUUCAUCUAAAGCUAAAUACUGGCGAGAGACCGAUAGCGAACAAGUACCGUGAGGGAAAGAUGAAAAGAACUUUGAAAAGAGAGUUAAACAGUACGUGAAAUUGUCAAAAGGGAAGCGUUUGACACCAGUGUUGUUUUCUCGAAAAUCAAUUAAAAAAGGUAGGAUUUUGUGUUGUAUUGACUUUAUCAGCUUUCUGCACUCUUUUCUUGUCUUUUUUAAUGCACUUUUCGUUUAACAAGUCAACAUCAAUUUCUUUUGUUAUAAAAGGGUCAUUGGAAGGUGGCUUUCUUUUCGGAGAAAGUGUUUAUAGCCUUUGGCCUCUGCAAUCGGAGAGAUUGAGGUCUGCAGCGUAGAUCCUUCGGGGUUAGAUACAUUUGUGCUAAGUUAUAGCCUUUCAUAGACAACUUGUUGACUAUGAUCAGUCAUGUAGCUUACUCGCUUAUGCUAUUUUACCUACGCUUAGGAUGUUGACGAUCAGCUGAGCGCG
RNAcentral lists this ribosomal RNA (774 nucleotides) under uncultured Neocallimastigales. RNAcentral describes it as "partial large subunit ribosomal RNA". It matches the Rfam family "Eukaryotic large subunit ribosomal RNA", at positions 24 to 627 of the family's 3401-position model. Lineage: Eukaryota; Fungi; Neocallimastigomycota; Neocallimastigomycetes; Neocallimastigales. The record is from RNAcentral.